CGAUGGUAUAAAAUGCUCUUUGAUGAUCUGUGCUCUGCAGUAAACUGAUCUAGUUAGAUAAAAUGACUGUUUUGUUAAAAUACAAAAUAAUAUUUUCUAAACUAUGUAUUUCAUUGUUUUAUCUGCCCCUGAAACAAAACCAGCACUGCCCCAAAACUCUUCUGUGGUGACUAGAGAAGGUUCUUAUUUCUUCAUUUGGCAGUAGAUGCUUUGAGUCAGUCUUGUGUCAAAUUCAAAACUACCUACUCCACGCAGUCUACACUUCCCCAAAAUCACCCCCUCACUGGAAGCCAGCUUGGCUUCUGUAUCAUCAUACUCCAGAGAUUCCCACCUGUGUGCUUUGGCUCAGGUGGUUCUCCCAACCAGCAGUGUUUAUGUCAGAGGAACAGAACUGACAGAAAAUAUAUAUUAUAAUUAUAAUUAUGCAAGGGGCUUAUUAGGUGUCCUUAUAGGAAAAGGCAGGAGAGACCAUGAUGCUGAUCAGCUUCUUGAAAAGCUGGGUGGUCAAGUAGCCACUCAGAUCCAGAAGAUGGAAGUCGCAGAAUAGGAGGGGUCAAGGAAGAACCACCAGUCCAAGGUCGAAGGUCUGGAAGCUCGGUGGAGAGUUGCAGGUGCGCGUCUACACUGGAGGGCCAAGGAAACUGACGAUGUGGAAAGUGAGGUCCAAAGGCAAUGACGGAAGAGGAUGCCGCUGCUCAGGAGACGGGCGCUCUUCUAAGUGGGCACGCUUCCUUCUUCUCUCCUGGUUCUGUUCCAUCCGGGCUACAUGCCUGCUGGCUGGUGCAUCGCGCGACCGAGGUGGGAUUUCGCCCUCAGUUUGCUGAUCUACGUGUGCGCUCCAGGCAAGCACAAGCUCAUGCUGAGAUGGAGUGUAUGACCUCUGAGUGUUACAAAAUAUACUAAACAGAUCAGGAUGAAUGACGAAGUGCAUCUCAGGAAAAAAGACUUUAUGACUUAUUUGCUGGCAGAGUGGUUAUGAUGAGGCCUCUUGCUUAGCCUGCCAACAGAAGUCUCAUUUCUUAGGAGAACAGAGUACUGUAGGUUGGCCUCCUGAGAGCAAGCCUGCUGACUUUUACCAUUUAAUAAA
Molecule: long non-coding RNA, 1087 nt
Filed under: Chinchilla lanigera (long-tailed chinchilla)
Lineage: Eukaryota; Metazoa; Chordata; Mammalia; Rodentia; Chinchillidae
Description: lncRNA (ENSCLAG00000025745.1)
Source: RNAcentral